AUGAACGCUGGCGGCGUGCCUAAGACAUGCAAGUCGAAUGCUCCGCAAGGGGCAUGGCGAACGGGUGAGUAAUAUCUAGGAACGUAUCUUUAGUUGAGCAUAUGCCACCGAAAGGUGGUGCAAUUCUCAAUGUGACCGCAAGGUUAAAGUCCAAAAGACGCUAAAGAAGCGGCCUGGAUCCCAUCAGCUAGUUGGUAAGGUAAUGGCUUACCAAGGCUAUGACGGGUAGGGGUCCCGAGAGGGAUAACCCCCACACUGGAACUGCGACACGGUCCAGACUCCUACGGGAGGCAGCAGUUUGGAAUUUUGGACAAUGGGCGAAAGCCUGAUCCAGCGACGCCGCGUGGACGAUGAAGGCCUUCGGGUUGUAAAGUCCUUUUGCAAGAGAAGAAUUUUUGACGGUAUCUUGCGAAUAAGAGGUUGCUAACUCUGU
Molecule: ribosomal RNA, 433 nt
Filed under: uncultured bacterium
Lineage: Bacteria
Description: bacterial SSU rRNA
Rfam family: Bacterial small subunit ribosomal RNA
Source: RNAcentral